Molecule: long non-coding RNA, 291 nt
Organism: Chelonia mydas (Green sea turtle)
Lineage: Eukaryota; Metazoa; Chordata; Testudines; Cheloniidae
Exons: 4
Source: RefSeq, a predicted model, not a curated record
CAGGGAUAGGAAUGCAGAAGUUCUUUGGACUCCAAGCUGUUCUCCUGCAACCAGCAUUUCUACCACGCUGUUUCGUUUGUGCACCAGGCAACAGAACUACUAACCUUUGAGUGAGAGAAACUUCUGCUGAUGUCAAAUGACCACGAGGACAUUAACAACUGAUUUUGGUGCCUGUCGGGUGCCGUUGGGAGUGCAAGGAGGCUCUUGCCAUCAUCAGGGCCCCAUUACACGAGGUGCCAUACAAACAUAUGCCCUACUAAUGACCUAUGCUAAGUUUGAACUGCAAACCCC